Molecule: ribosomal RNA, 412 nt
Filed under: uncultured bacterium
Lineage: Bacteria
Description: bacterial SSU rRNA
Rfam family: Bacterial small subunit ribosomal RNA
Source: RNAcentral
UCAGCAAGCCCCGGUAAUACAGAGGGCUCGAGCGUUAAUCGGAAUCACUGGGCUUAAAGCGUGCGUAGGCGGAUUUGAAGGCGCUUUGUGAAAUCCCUCGGCUCAACCGAGGAACUGCUUGGCGAACCACAAAUCUUGAGGCUGGUAGAGGUGGUCGGAACAAUAGGUGGAGCGGUGAAAUGCGUAGAUAUCUAUUGGAACACCGAAGGUGAAGACAGGCCACUGGGCCAGUCCUGACGCUGAGGCACGAAAGCGUGGGUAGCAAACGGGAUUAGAUACCCCGGUAGUCCACGCCGUAAACGAUGCGCACUUGGUCGAGGGGGUUGAACGCCUUCUCGGCCGUAGGAAAACUGAUUAGUGCGCCGCCUGGGGAGUACGGUCGCAAGAUUAAAACUCAAAGGAAUUUGACGGG